AAAUGAUCUUUUCCUUAACUUAUUCAGCACAAAAUAAACCAAGAGAGAUCAAAACAACACACUGUUCUCGCGUGGUUUUAAAGUCACAUGACAGCUGCUGCUCAUGUGGCUGAUGAACAGCAGCCUAGGUAGGAGAUGCUGGAGGGCAGACGUGCGAUGGUUGAGCCAAACGUUGUAGCAAUCACACGGUUUGUCAAGUGGGAACUGGCCAGGUUCUGUUCCAGAUUCCCAUUCCAGGAUUCUGGAUCUGGGUUCAGUCCCAGAUCGUCUGUUACCAUAGCGUCCAGACAACCCAAACAGCGGAUCACAGAAACAUCACAUCCUAUCAACUUCUUCCAAAUUGGUGGGAGACCUUCAGCCCAACAAUCUUCACUCUGGACUGGACCACAAAGAA
Long non-coding RNA from Poecilia latipinna (sailfin molly), 394 nucleotides. RefSeq lists it as uncharacterized. NCBI's taxonomy places the organism in Eukaryota, Metazoa, Chordata, Actinopteri, Cyprinodontiformes, Poeciliidae. The record is from RefSeq and is a predicted model, not a curated record. The transcript is spliced from 3 exons.